AGUAUCAUGUGAGCCUAGGAAUCAUGUGAUCACAGGUUCAGCUUACUGAAUCUAGAUUCGGUUCCCAUGAUGGAUAUUUUUCAGCUGUAAGUAGCCUGUACAUUAUUUUACAAUGUCUAAAUUUCCUUGGAUAGCUGUCAUGCCCAUGAGGAGUUCGGCACUGCUGUAUAUUAUUUUUUCGAGAAUGCUUCGCAACUCGAAAAUAAAAGCAAACAAGCCGAAUAUUUAGUAAUAAAAUGGAAGUAUGAAAAGGUCUUAAUUACUAUUGAGCACGGGGUUUGAAAAACCUCUUUUACAAAAUGUCAUUGCUAUAUUGUGGUUAAAACUAAAUUUUUCUAUAAAUUCAAACCCUUUGUAUAUAGGUGCGAACGAGGCCUCGCACUACUUUCAAAUAACUGCACAUUGAUCCACACACACAUAAACACACACAUUCAUAUAACAAUUUCUUUGAAGAGUGGCGAUCACCGUGGUAACACGGAUGUCAGGGGGUGCCUAACACCUUCCCUCCUCAUAAUUAAGCCCCCGGACCCAAAAUGAAUCUCGGUUUCACAGACCUGUUUAGCAGUGUCAAAUCACUGGGUCAAUGUGCAAACCAUUUCCGGUUGCGUUGGUGCAACCAGUUAAAUACACCAACUGGCGAAUCUUAAAGUCAAAUCGUCGACAUUAUACAUGUCGGACCUUUUUCACUUGUUUUUUCAAAAAAAUCUCACAUUAACAUGAGAACACCAAAGAACAAGUAACAAAAAGGGACUCAAAAAUCCCGACGUCGACAAUAAGUUUUCCAAAUCUUCUAGCUUUGCUAGAUUUUCGAAAUUUAUUGACUUCGUGCCGAUGGUUGUACUUUUGAUUUUUGAAAAAUGUUGGGUCACACUAGUGAACCAGAGAAUUUUUUUUAAACAGUGCUAUUAUUCGCGUAUCUAUGUUGUUUUUUUCGGCUAGAUAAAAAAAUGGUUUUUAAAUUUCAAAAUACAUUUUAACUAUAGGUAUCAGGUGAUAUGAUAAACGAUGGAGUCAUCAAUGCAAUGAAACCUGGUGUUGGAUGUGAUCAUUUGAUCAUUUGAUCGUCAGCCCAAUAUAUAUAUAUAUAUAUAUAUAUAUGAAUAUGUAUAUUUCGAUUGAUGUCCAAAUUAUUGUAGAAGUCUAUGCUAUUUGAUUCAGCUAGACAAAUAUUGAAAGAUGUUCAUGAAAUUCAAGCGUUUCUUGAGAAGUUAUGCCAAACCAAAUUGUUUUGGUGCGGAUGCAGAUGUUGAAAAGCUGAGGUGAACAACCCUAUAAAAGGGGACAUGUUAUCGGAGACAAUGGUUCCAAAAGUAACACAUAUAGUCGUUACGAUGUUAAGAUGUAAUACGUUGUGCACGAGGUAGGGGUAUGAUAGGUUGAUCACCUAGAGUACUUGCAGAGAGUGUUUUCAGUUUGUGUGAUUGCUAAACAUUCUGUUAAAGAUGGUUUAUGGUGGUGAUGCACCAUUAAACCUGGAGAAGAGUUCAAGGUCCGUAUAGUCUUAUGACUAUUAAAGGUUUUGUCAUGGAUGGUGAGUUAAGCCAAGAUUUGAUCUUGUACUCACUCCUGGACUCCUUUCACAAUUGUUGUGAAUUUUUUCAAAUGAACAAGCUAGAUAUCAGCCUUGCAGAUUUGCUUAACAUGUUGAAAAAUGUUGAGAGUCAUUUUCCAACCAAGAAAGACCAAGUCUUAUUGGUAGGGGCCAAAUGAUCUUCUGAAAAGAAGAAUGAUUCAAAGAAGGUAAAUAGAAAGGCAAAAAUUAUGGAUAAUAAGAAUAAAAUCGAUAGGAUAGCAAAGGAGUUUGUUUCAACUGCAAUAAGCCUGGACACUGAAAAAGAAACUGCGAGAAGCAUCUUGCAGAGCUAACCAGAAGAAGUUUAGUAAAGUUUUGGUUACAAUACAAUUUUGUUCAUGAUUUAAAAUAAAUUUUUCUUUAAGUUAAGGUUCUACUUGGGUAUUGGAUACCGACUUUGGUUAUCAUAAAUAUAGAUUUAUGAAGGGACCAAGCAGAAGUAGAAAGCUAAACAAAGAUAAGUAAUCCUAUGUGUGGGAAAUGAAGCAAAGGUUACUGCAUUAGCCAUAGAAACUUAUAGUUUAGCAUUGCCUACGGGAAAAUCUAUUAAGUCAAUAAGUUGUUGUUGUAUUCCAGUUCUCGUUAGAAAUAUUAAUUCCAUUUUGUUGUUGGACAAUGAAAUCUUUGGUAUUAUAUUUAAGAACAAUUGUUGUUCUAUAUAUAAUAAUAAUGUUUUGUAUAGAACUGGAAUAUUAUUUAAUGGAUUUUACAUACUUGACUUACAUGAAAAUAAUUUUGCAUAUUGAACAAAUUAAUAUAAGAAAAAGGAGAUGAUUAUUCAAAAGGUUGAAUGUGUGUAUUUGCUGAAAUAUAAUUGUGAAUUAUUUGAAAGGUUCAAAGAAUUCAGAAAUGAAACAAAUUAGCAAAGUAUUAGGAUUCUUUGAUCGGAUCAAGGAAGGAAUACUUGUGCAAUGAGUUUCUAGAUCAUCUCAAAUGGUUUUCUCACAAUGGACGCCUCCUGAUACGCAAUAAUUGAUUAAUGUAUCUGAAAGGAAAAAUCAUACCUUAUUGGACAUGGUACGGUCCAUAAUGAUUUUAUCGGCAUUCCAGUAUCUUUCUGGGGUUAUGCCCUAGAAAUGGCUACAUAUCUACAAAAAAGGUAACCUCAAAAUCCGACCACAAGACUCCAUAAAAUUAUGGACAGGAAGGAUUCCUAAUUUUAAGUAUGUUAAGAUAAGGGGUUGUCUAACUUAUGUGAAAAGGUUUCAAAAGGAUAAGUUUGGGACAAAAUUUGAUAAGUACAGAUUUGUGGGACAUCCUAAAGUAAGUUUAGGGUAUAUGUUCUAUAAUCCUACUUAGCAAAAGGUGUUUGUUGCGAAAAAUACGAUGCCUUCUAAGAUAAAGAUGUUUAUCAUUAAAGGGGCUAGUGGGAGGAUAAUAGAUCUUGAAGAGUUCAAGAACCACAAAAUACUAUAAGUCAAAUAAGAGGAACCUGUAGAUAGACCUAUUGUACCACAACCGAAUCGUAAAUCUGGAAUAGUACCAAAGAUACCUAGGAGGUAUGGAUUCAUCAUAGAUGAUGAUGAUAAGGUACGCAUCAUAGAAGAUGAUGAUCUAGUUACAUACGAUGAGGUAAGAGUUGUAGACACUCAAAGAAAUGGAUUGAAGCAAGCUUCUUAAAAUAUGGAACAUUGGUUUUGAUGAAACAAAUUAAAAGAGUUUGAUUUUAUUAAAUAUAAGAAUGAACCUAGUGUGUAAAAAAGGGUCAGUGGGAGCGCCGUGACAUUCUUGGUAUUAUAUGUUGAUAUACUACAGAUAAGGAAUGACAUACCAAUGCUACAAUUAGUAAAGAUAAAGUUGUCUAAACAUUCCUCCAUAGAUGAUUUGGGAAGAGUAUCGUAAUUGGGGAUAAAAAUCUAUAUAGAUAGAUUUAAGAGGAUGCUCGACUUAACCCAAAGAACGUAUAUUCAUUUGAUGCUAAAGUCGUUUAGCAUGGUAAACUCCAAGAGAUGUCUCAUGUUGAUGAGCCAUGGAGUGUAUCUCUCUUAAUAGUCUCCAUAGACUCCUAAAAAGAGAGAAUGCAUGAGUGACAAUCAUGUAUGCAAUGAAAUAUACGAGACCUGAUGUUAAUCGGACAUAUUCUAGAGAAGAUCACUAUAAGACAGUGAAAAUAUCUUAAAGUACUUAACCGACACUAAGGAUGUAAUUAAAAUUUAUGGCGAGUCUAAAUUAAAACUAGAGGGCUUAACAGACUCAAGUUUUUCAAACAAACCAAGAUAGCAGAAAAUUCACUUUAAGGUAAAGUGUUACCUUGAACAAUGGUGCAAUGAAUUUGAAAGGUUCCAAACAACAAAGAGUUGUUGGUUUAGUGAUAAAGACAAAGUAUAUAGCUAUAAAUGAAGCUGCAAGUUAAUUAUUUGGAUGAAAAGUUCAUUACAGAACUAGGAAUAGUUCCUAAGUCUCAUCUUGGAUCUAAACAUGUGUUGUGGCACUUUCAUUUGAUUAUAGGAAUCAUUGAAAUAUGGGAAAUCACUAUAGAGAUAGUGGACUCUCAAGAACAACAUUACAUAUCCAUUUACUGAAGCUUAUCCAAUAGCAGGAUAAUCGUCACUUAGAGAAGAAAGGUAUGGGAUACCAUGCCGAUUGGCUUUAGUGCAAGUGGGAGAUUGAAAGUAGUAUGCACACAAGCCAAUCAUGUUUGAUGAUAAAGCAUAUACUUUGCAAUAAUCUUAUUCAUUUAUUAAUAAAAAAUAUUAAUUUAUUAAAGGCUUAUAAUUAUCUACAUGAUGCUGUUUUAUAAUAUGUGAUAAACCCAUAGUUUUAAGCAAUGAUUUUAGAAUAAUGAUGAAGAUCAUUCUAAUGAGAUCUAAAUUCUUAGAAAGCUUAAAACUAAAAUAGUCCCCAAUCGUUAGAUUACUAAAUUAGGGAUUAGUGAAUCCGGAUAGAUUGGUACAUACGUUGCUUACUCAUUGGAUGAGAAUGAUUGAUCUCAUGAUCAUUUGUGUGGAGACACUAAAGAAAGUAUGUAGGUGCUUAUUAGAGAAUAAGUUCACUGAACGUGGCUCGCUAAGGAAUACCUAAUGGAGUUUUACUUGCCUGUCAAUAGGAAUUCCUGUAGUGAUAGUAGUACAAGUGAUCCUUGGACUUGAGAUCAUCAUAGUAUCUUGUGUAUGAUGAGUUAUACUUUGACUUAUUCCUUAAGACCCUUAGGGUAUAUCAAAGGGUAUGCUUGGGUAUAAUAAGUUGUACAUGGAGAUAAUGUAUGAUCAAUAAAGAAUCUACCACUUCUAGUAAAAGAAGAGAAAUGUCCUAUGUGAUUCGAUAAAUGACAACCCAGUAGUCCUUGGCCAAGGCAGAAUGAAAUUAGAAAGGAGUUUCUAAUUUGCAUUAUUUGGAGUUGUGCAUUUAAGAGUCGAAAUACAUAUAAUUAAAUAAAAUAAGACUUGACAGUAAUUCCAUGUCUUAUAUUUAAUUGGGACAUUGUAUGGUGGAAGGAUUGAAUUGUACGGUAACUAUUUACUCAAAGGUUCUUUUAUGAUUAAUGUUGAAAUCUAUAUUAUCUGGAAAGUCGUUGAUCGCUAGGGAGGCUUAUCCCUAUUGUAGAAUAAAUAUUAUUUAUUUAAAUUAAUUAAUAGUUUAAUUUAUUUAUUUAAAUAAGAUUAUAAUUGUUCUAAUUUAUUUAUUCGCAACCAGUUUAAUAUGGAGAACCUAAAGGGUCACACCAUAAAAGGAAGAAUAAUUAUUUAAGAAGUUAUUGGCAUAAUCUUAAUAAUAAGUUAAGUAUAUUUAAUUUAAUCUAUGUUGAUAGAAUAAAUUAAAUUGCUUAAUAUUUAUUAUUUAAUAUUUUGGAAAUAUUAUAUAUAUAUUUAUAAGAGGAGUCUUAUUAUUAUUAUUACUAUUAUUAUUAUUAUUUAAUUCCUAAGGGAGUUUGAGAAUUAAUUAAUAAAAGUACUCUCAUAUAAUCUGUUGACUUUGUUAUAUUCCAUCCUUAUGUUUUGAUGAUGAAAUGUUCAAAGUACUAAAUUGUUUUAUGAUAUGUUUCAGGUAUUUUGGUGAAAAAGAGCUUUGAUGGGUUAUUCAAGAAUUUGAAGGAAUUUCUUACUAGGAAAAUAAAUGUAAGAUCAAUAGCAUAAUAAUUGAUUUUUCAUUUAAAGGCUCUAGGACAUAUUAUUUGCAUUUUUAUUAUAUGUCUUAAAUGAAAAAUGUUUUUAAAUGAUUUUAUAUGAAAAGUUUUUUUAAGGAGUAAAAACAUAUAUUUUGUGCAUGAUAGCCAUAUUCUUUUUUUUAGAUGUGAUAUGUGUGCAUGCUACGCAUGGAUAUUUUAAAUGGCAGCUAGACUUUAUUGUAUGUGCGGUUUUUGAGGAAUGAUUAUGCAUAUUUUGAUAUCCGGUUAUGAUAUGAAUGCUUUAUAUAGAUCUGCUUGAUAAUCUCUUAUUGAGAUAAGAUGUGUGUGUGAGAAUUUCAAGGAAAAGCUAUUAUCAUUAUCUUGGACUCUUAAAGGUCUAAUGUCUUGGAAAAAUAACUGACUGAUGUGCUUCUAUUUUAGACGUCACUUUUGAGUAAGGAGAUUAAGUCAAAAUUAUUUAUCUCUUAAGUCUUUUGUUUUAUUCCACUAACAAGAGUCUGUUCUCUUAAUAUGGAUAUAUAUUAAAGAUAUGGACUUAGUCUAGCUUUACCGUUGUGGAAAUUGCCGAUUGAUUAAUUAGUACAUAUCUUUUAUUAACGGUAACUUGUGUAAGGGCUAUAUAAAUGAUGUUUCUCAUUUAGAAAAUAACACAACUCAUGAAAUUACUACUUGCACUUAUUACUGUUAUCGAGCAAUUUGAUUUUGUCAAGUGCAAACUUUUGAGAAGCUAAUUAAGCAAUUAAUUUUCUGGUAUUAUUUGAGCUGGUAUUCGGUAAGAAAUUAAUUGUUUAUCUAUUGUGUGCUAAUUGAUCAUUGCAUUUAGUUGAGCCUUUAAUUGUUAAAUUGAUUAUUCUUGCAUUGAUCAUAGACCUCUAUAAUUGUAUUGGAUUUUCUGUUUUAGACUAAGUGUAGUCUAAAGGUGUUAAUCCUAGUGGAUUAGAGAAAAGGGUUACAAACAGGUUCAAGAAAGCAAAGCUGCUUGAAGAGUGCAUAGGUGCAUAAGGAGCAAGAGAGCUCAAAGGAAAAUUAAUUGUUAAUUAAUUUUUGUUAGAAUCUGUUUUGUAAUCUAUAUUUAUUUAUAAAGAAAUAAAUAAAGUGAGUCUCCAAUGCUAGUUGGUAUUGGACGUGGACUAGGCUAUUAUUAUAGAG
RNAcentral lists this long non-coding RNA (6788 nucleotides) under Panax ginseng (ginseng). RNAcentral's name for it is "long non-coding RNA (PGIN_LNC005701)". The record is from RNAcentral. Lineage: Eukaryota; Viridiplantae; Streptophyta; Magnoliopsida; Apiales; Araliaceae.